RNAcentral lists this ribosomal RNA (451 nucleotides) under Cellulomonas flavigena. RNAcentral's name for it is "bacterial SSU rRNA". It matches the Rfam family "Bacterial small subunit ribosomal RNA", at positions 470 to 918 of the family's 1533-position model. The record is from RNAcentral. Lineage: Bacteria; Bacillati; Actinomycetota; Actinomycetes; Micrococcales; Cellulomonadaceae.
UGACGGUACCUGCAUAAGAAGUGCCUGCUAACUACUUGCCAGCAGCCGCGGUAAUACGUAGGGCGCAAGCGUUGUCCGGAAUUAUUGGGCGUAAAGAGCUCGUACGCGGUCUGUCGCGUCUGCUGUGAAAACCUCAGGCUCAACCUGGGGCUUGCAGUGGGUACGGGCAGACUAGAGUGCGGUAGGGGUGACUGGAAUUCCUGGUGUAGCGGUGGAAUGCGCAGAUAUCAGGAGGAACACCGAUGGCGAAGGCAGGUCACUGGGCCGCAACUGACGCUGAGGAGCGAAAGCAUGGGGAGCGAACAGGAUUAGAUACCCUGGUAGUCCAUGCCGUAAACGUUGGGCACUAGGUGUGGGGUCCAUUCCACGGAUUCCGUGCCGCAGCAAACGCAUUAAGUGCCCCGCCUGGGGAGUACGGCCGCAAGGCUAAAACUCAAAUGAAUUGACGGGG